CACAUCUUGUCGGGGUGCCUGGAGUAACAGGCUGAGACCACAACAGUGGGGCCCGUAGAACCUGAUCUGGUUAGUACCAGCGUAGGAAACAAGUAGUUCAUCAAA
This 105-nucleotide non-coding RNA is filed under the name Hahella chejuensis. RNAcentral's name for it is "TPP sequence". It matches the Rfam family "TPP riboswitch aptamer (THI element)". Rfam says of the family: Vitamin B(1) in its active form thiamin pyrophosphate (TPP) is an essential coenzyme that is synthesised by coupling of pyrimidine and thiazole moieties in bacteria. Lineage: Bacteria; Pseudomonadati; Pseudomonadota; Gammaproteobacteria; Oceanospirillales; Hahellaceae. RNAcentral also lists the same sequence under 1 other name. The record is from RNAcentral.